AAAUAUCAACAGGGAUUUCAAAGGCGUAAAUGACCGAAGAUAUCUGAGCGUGAAAUGUACAAGCGCGAAAAGUCGAAGGUUAUGUUUAUCGCAGAAGUCUAGGGCAGAGAUUGUUUUUGGCCGGACAUCACAGAAAAGUACUCCUGUAUUGAAAAAAUAAGGAGUACAUACUCCUGAUGUUGAAAAAUGAUCUGGAGCCCUGGUCUGUCUGUCAGGGGAGGUGCCAUGUGCUGAUGUCCUCCAAUAUGGCUACCACAGAGAUAGAAGGCUGGGUGCUGGACUAUGCAUGUAAAUACCAGCUCCAUGAAGCCAUUGCAGCCCUGGUGCAGAGACAUGGAGAGGAUCUAUCAUCGCUUGCCAUCCCCCAUGCCCGCCUGUCUGCCGCCACAAUCCACCGCAUCAUACACUGUCGUGAGCUGGAGGACUUCGAGACUGCCAUCCACCUGGCAGAACUACUGUACCAAACACUGGGGGAAGCCGUCCCCUUCAAGAUCUACUUCAGAUUGACUUAUGGUCUGAAGAUUAAGGUAUUAUUUGAUUACUUGAAGAAAGACUCCCAGUCUCCCCGUGUCCUGAACCUGAUGCUGAACAGAUACUUCCCUCGAUGUGGCAGUGCUGAUAUACAGAGGAACAUGUCCCGACUGCAGAUGAGGGUGAGCAACUUCAGGAAGUUCUUCCUCUCUCUCUGUCUGCAUGAGAACCAGAGGAAGAGCUUUCUGCAGGAUCAGUAUGACACUGAGUUUGGAGAGGAAUUUCUGUCUUCCCUGGAGAAACAUGUGGACAGAUUCCUGGAGGAAGUAGACAAAUGUCUUCCUCUCACAGUCCUGGACAAGAUUCUGAAGAAAGGUGUUGAGUCCGUCUGCUGUGGUGUACCGUCUAUGUCAGUCGAGAUGGACAUCCUGCUGGAAUGUUUGCUGAACAAGUCCGAACUCAAUGCCCUUGACCUACUGGAUCUCUUGACCCUCAUCCAUCCAAUGAGCACACAGGAUCAGAUCCGGCCCUGCUUACAACUCAGUCUAUGUUCAGAAGAAAGUUUCAGCUUGCAUGAUUCUCGGGCAGGAGGUGAUGUGUCAGACACCCAUGUCAGUGACCUGAAGACAGGAACAGACAGGUCAGCAAAACCUUUGCUGAACGGGCUUGACCUCACAGUCCCAGAUUUGAGUCAGUCGGUAACUGCAUCAGAAGAGUCUGUCUCAAUCCUCAGCAAGAGGUCGCCAGGUGUUUUGAAGUCCAGGGCCUGCAUGACAGCUGACCUCUCUGCCGACCCUCCUGCUGACCUGAACCCAUCUCAGGUCUGCAUUAUCUCCAGCAGCAGUGACAGAACCACACAGGGGUCACAGGUCACAGGGCAAGUCAUGGGUGUGUGUAAAACAUCAACGUCUGCCCCUGCCGGUCACAUUGUGAGAGGACCAGACAGUGACUCUGACAUUCAACUAUGGACAGACGAUUCAUUGGAGGAAUCAGUCAAUGCUGACUCGAGUUUGUCAGACAUCUGUGCCAGUGAAAUGAUCCCAUCUUCUAAUACUGAAGAACUAGAGGCACUGAGAUGGUUGUCAGCAGUGUCCUACCCAAGUCUCGGUCAAUAUCAGAAGAACAGUAGUGUCAAGCUGUGCGUGGUGAAACUGUACAGGGACAAGUGCAUGGAUGUUACUCAGCAUGGAGACAAGGUGACAAUGUACAGCUAACAGAUGCCAGGGUGACAAUUUACAGCUGAUAGACACCAGUGCCAAGGUGACAGUGUACAGCUAACAGAUGCCAGGGUGACAAUUUACAGCUGAUAGACACCAGUGCCAAGGUGACAGUGUACAGCUGAUAGACACCAGUGCCAAGGUGUCAAUGUACAGCUGAUAGACACCAGUGCCAAGGUGUCAAUGUACAGCUGAUAGACACCAGGUGUCAAUGUGCCAAUGUACAACUGAUAGACACCAGGUGCCAAUGUACAGCUGAUAGACACCAGGUGCCAAUGUACAACUGAUAGACACCAGGUGCCAAUGUACGACUGAUAGACACCAGGUGCCAAUGUACAACUGAUAGACACCAGGUGCCAAUGUACAGAUGACAGGUGACAAUGUGCGGCUGAUAAACACCAGGAGCCAUAGUGACAAUGUACAGGCGAGAGACACCAGCAACCCAGUUCCAAAAAUCGUCAUCAUAAACCUGAUAUUGUUUAGGGGUUGGUUAUUUCUGUUGUUCUUAUACAGACACAUUAAACCAUAUUUAUAUAUUUGUAAAUUAUUCUAUUUGUAAUAAUUUUUUAUCAUGGUAAAUUCUGAAAUAGUUCAGAAUCACUGUUGUUGAUGCCAUACACAUCUCCACCACUAAUUGUAACUUGCAUGGACAAUCACCUGUGACCAGGUACCAGUGAAUGUGGAGUAACACAAAAUGUAUAGCAUAUUGUAUAAAUAUCUUUAUGAAAUUGAUAUAAACAUAAUGAAGACAGGAAGGCUCUCAGGAUUGUAGAUUGUAAUGUCGUUAUUGGCAGUUCAUUUUAAUCAUCUGUUUUAACAAUUCUAAUGUUCCAGUUUCCAACUUGUAUACUGUUCCUCAGUUGUACAGAUAAUGGAUACAGGACACUGUUUGAUGAGCUGUCAGCAAAAGUACAAUCAUCAUUACAUAUGUCGCAGUUGUUUGCAUGGACUGUAGCUCUGCUCAUCAUUUUUCAAGAACAUCAAAUAAAUGACAUGUUGAGGGC
RNAcentral lists this unclassified non-coding RNA (2692 nucleotides) under Haliotis rubra (blacklip abalone). RNAcentral describes it as "uncharacterized LOC124279032, transcript variant X2". The record is from RNAcentral. Lineage: Eukaryota; Metazoa; Mollusca; Gastropoda; Lepetellida; Haliotidae.